This 741-nucleotide ribosomal RNA is filed under the name Escherichia coli. RNAcentral's name for it is "partial 23S ribosomal RNA". It matches the Rfam family "Bacterial large subunit ribosomal RNA", at positions 1 to 782 of the family's 2925-position model. Lineage: Bacteria; Pseudomonadati; Pseudomonadota; Gammaproteobacteria; Enterobacterales; Enterobacteriaceae. The record is from RNAcentral. RNAcentral also lists the same sequence under 1 other name.
GGUUAAGCGACUAAGCGUACACGGUGGAUGCCCUGGCAGUCAGAGGCGAUGAAGGACGUGCUAAUCUGCGAUAAGCGUCGGUAAGGUGAUAUGAACCGUUAUAACCGGCGAUUUCCGAAUGGGGAAACCCAGUGUGAUUCGUCACACUAUCAUUAACUGAAUCCAUAGGUUAAUGAGGCGAACCGGGGGAACUGAAACAUCUAAGUACCCCGAGGAAAAGAAAUCAACCGAGAUUCCCCCAGUAGCGGCGAGCGAACGGGGAGCAGCCCAGAGCCUGAAUCAGUGUGUGUGUUAGUGGAAGCGUCUGGAAAGGCGCGCGAUACAGGGUGACAGCCCCGUACACAAAAAUGCACAUACUGUGAGCUCGAUGAGUAGGGCGGGACACGUGGUAUCCUGUCUGAAUAUGGGGGGACCAUCCUCCAAGGCUAAAUACUCCUGACUGACCGAUAGUGAACCAGUACCGUGAGGGAAAGGCGAAAAGAACCCCGGCGAGGGGAGUGAAAAAGAACCUGAAACCGUGUACGUACAAGCAGUGGGAGCACAGAGCAAUCUGUGUGACUGCGUACCUUUUGUAUAAUGGGUCAGCGACUUAUAUUCUGUAGCAAGGUUAACCGAAUAGGGGAGCCGAAGGGAAACCGAGUCUUAACUGGGCGUUAAGUUGCAGGGUAUAGACCCGAAACCCGGUGAUCUAGCCAUGGGCAGGUUGAAGGUUGGGUAACACUAACUGGAGGACCGAACCGA